UACGGGGGGAGCAAGCGUUGUUCGGAUUUACUGGGCGUAAAGGGCGCGUAGGCGGCCUGUGCAAGUCAGUUGUGAAAUCUCCGGGCUUAACUCGGAACGGUCAACUGAUACUGCUCGGCUAGAGUGCGGAAGGGGCAACUGGAAUUCUUGGUGUAGCGGUGAAAUGCGUAGAUAUCAGGAGGAACACCGGCGGCGAAGGCGGCCCUCUGGACCGUUGCUGACGCUGAGACGCGAAAGCGUGGGGAGCAAACAGG
This 254-nucleotide ribosomal RNA is filed under the name uncultured prokaryote. RNAcentral's name for it is "partial 16S ribosomal RNA". It matches the Rfam family "Bacterial small subunit ribosomal RNA", at positions 524 to 776 of the family's 1533-position model. The record is from RNAcentral.